This 232-nucleotide ribosomal RNA is filed under the name uncultured bacterium. Its description in RNAcentral is "partial 16S ribosomal RNA". It matches the Rfam family "Bacterial small subunit ribosomal RNA", at positions 15 to 236 of the family's 1533-position model. The record is from RNAcentral.
GAUCAUGGCUCAGGAUGAACGCUAGCUACAGGCUUAACACAUACAAGUCGAGGGGAAACGACAUCGAAAGCUUGCUUUUGAUGGGCGUCGACCGGCGCACGGGUGAGUAACGCGUAUCCAACCUGCCCAUCACUUGGGAAUGACCUUGCGAAAGUAAGACUAAUGCCCAAUGACAUCCCACGAAGGCAUCCGAAUGGGAUUAAAGAUUUAUCGGUGAUGGAUGGGGAUGCGU